This is a long non-coding RNA of Oenanthe melanoleuca, 1149 nucleotides long. RefSeq lists it as uncharacterized. The record is from RefSeq and is a predicted model, not a curated record. NCBI's taxonomy places the organism in Eukaryota, Metazoa, Chordata, Aves, Passeriformes, Muscicapidae. The transcript is spliced from 3 exons.
UGAACAAAAAAAGACAUUUAUUGACCAAACUUGAGCUUGUUUUCACACAAGCAGGGCCUGGCUGUAGCACCAUCCUGUGGGGUGCAGCCCCCCCAAAACCAGCCCUGAGGGAGCUGCAGGAGCCCCCCAAAAAAAAAAUAUAUAUUUUUACAUUCAAACAUCUUUUGUAUCACCAGCUCUGUAAAAAUGGAUAUAUUUUACAGAUUUAUAGAUAUUUACAGGCUCUCUGUAGCUCCCCCAGCUCAACAUUUUGGGGUUUUUUUUUUUUCCGUAUUUGAUAUUUCUGAAAUGUCCUUGUGCUGUUUGGGGUCAGGGCACAGCUGGGUGUGAGCCCAGGGACCUCUGAAAGGAAAAUUUGGGAAUGGGGAUCCCAAAUCCAUGGGAAAGGAUCCCAAAUCCAUGGGAAUGGGAUCCCAAAUCCAUGGGAAGGGAGAUCCCAAAUCCAUGGGAAGGGAGAUCCCAAAUCCAUGGGAAGGGAGAUCCCAAAUCCAUGGCAAAGGGAGAUCCCAAAUCCAUGGGAUGGGAGAUCCCAAAUCCAUGGGAAUGGGAUCCCAAAUCCUUGGGAAUGGGAUCCCAAAUCCUUGGGAAAAGGGGUCCCAGAGUUCCCAACAUUUCCAUCUCCACAGUGCUCCUGCUCCAGUUCAGGCAGGGCAGCAGCAGCAGAAGGUGCUAUUUCCAGAAAAAAAAAUAAAAAUAAAAAAAAAAUUUAAAAUAAAACCCCACAAAAGCCUCAAACAUCUGCUCCAGCUCAGCCCAGCCCAGGGCUGCUCCUGGAUGGUUCUUCUGGGAUUUCCAGGGAAGAAAAUUCCACUUGAGCUCCCUGUUGAUCUGGGAUUUUUAGGGGUAAAAAUUCCACUUGAGCUCCCUGUUGAUCCAGGAUUUUUAGGGAUGAAAAUUCCACUUGAGCUCCUUGUUGAUCUGGGAUUUUUAGGAGAACACCAACUCUUCUGGGAUUUUUAGGGGUGAAAAUUCCACUUGAGCCCCCUGUUGAUAGCAGAGCACCAACUCUUCUGGGAUUUUUUUAGGGAUGAAAAUUCCACUUGAUCUCCCUGUUGAUCUGGGAUCUUUUAGGGAACACCAACUCUUCUGGGAUUUUUUAGGGAUAAAAAUUCCACUUGAGCUCCCUGUUGAUAGCAGAGCACCAACUCU